RNAcentral lists this long non-coding RNA (720 nucleotides) under Equus caballus (horse). Its description in RNAcentral is "lncRNA (ENSECAG00000043038.2)". Lineage: Eukaryota; Metazoa; Chordata; Mammalia; Perissodactyla; Equidae. The record is from RNAcentral.
GGCGCCUGGCCUCUCUGAGCCUCCUCCUCAUCAUCCGUAAAAGGAGGAGAAGUCCGCUCCGCUUCUUGGGUCGGAGAUGGUCAGAAGAGACGUGUCCUGGCCCACAGGAGGUCCUCGGCUCCCGCCGUGAGCUCCUCUGCCCGUUUCCCAUGUCCUCUCAACUGCAGGGUCCUUACUGUGGCGGUCAAAGGGGACUGCCCAGCAGCCGGCUCUUCUGAGACCUUUAUUUGGAAUCAAGGGGGUCCAGGGAGGGUCUUCUCUGUUGUUUUUCUCUCCAGGAGACGAGAGAGGACAGAAGGAGUUUGCCACCCUCUGCCACUGUGUGUCUCUGAGAUGCCAUGUCCCCUCCCUGCAGCAGGGGCCCCAGCCAACACAACAAACACAAAAGUGUCUUCUCUGUGCCAGGGCCAUGCUGGAAACUGGGGGCACAGAGAUGAUCUCAGGAAGCUGCCUGAAAACAAGAAGAGGAGGUCAAGUACUCCAAGACACCACACAGUGCUCUCUCCCUCAGCUCUGCUCCCAGGACUCCUGAGUCCCCACAGCUGGUUCUGCAUCCCUGGCUUGCCCAGAAACUGCUCUGGCCGCCCUGGUUCGGAAGGGUGGGGGUCUGCGGGAUGGCAAAGGUGCCUUUCAGACAAAUGAAAAUCAACGACAUACUCAAGCAAGCGCUCUCUGUCUUGCCUGUGGUGUUAGGCAGCGAGAAAACCUGCCUCCUCAUUG